UUGAUAGUUUUGUUAGGGUUUUGUGUUUUUGGAUUUAUGUUAAACAGAAAGAACAACAGAAAAGGAAGCAAAAGGCAAGCUAUUUCAUUUCAUAAAAAGUGAUAGUGGGCGGCUUCCAGCCUUUAUGGACAGACCCUGCUCAUGUUUGCCACGUGGCCUUAGCUUACUGGUUCCCAAAAUAACAGAAACUACCACUACUGAAAAACAGACAAUGACAUAAUAAUUAAAGGUGCACAUCAAAACGACAUCGUAACAAUAGUGGACAAUGUGAAAAUGUGACAACUCGCUCCUCCUUCAGAACAUCCUUGACCUCAAGGAUGGAAAUCAGGGAACUUUGAAGACAAUUGUUCCCAUAAUUCCCAAGUAGCUUCGUCUGAGGUUCCAUUCUCCCACUGUACCAGAACCAUGGUUGCUGGUCUAUUCCCCUUUUUAAUCAAUCUCCUGUCCAGAAUCAAAAGAGGCUUGGGGUUGAUAACACCAGUAUCAUCAGUACUGGGUAGAGCAGUCUGCACCAUCUUUCUACUACCAAUCUUCUUCUUCAAUUGGGAAACGUGGAAGACAUUGUGAAUCCGGGAAUUUGCUGGUAAAGCUAGCUGAUAUGCCACCUUGCCAAUACGCUUGGUGAUCAUGUAGGGGCCAUAGUAUUUAGCAGAUAGCUUGUGGUUUCUGCGUUCACACAGGGAUUGCUGUCGGUAAGGUUGAAGCUUGAGGAAGACUUCAUCAUUAACACUGAAUUCUCUGUCAGUUCGUUUCUUAUCAUAGUACCAUUUCAUGCGCUCCUGAGCCUUAACCAAGUUGUCCUUGAUCAGUUGCUGGGUAGCGAGGCGAUCCUUCAGAAAAUUAUUAACUUCUGGGUCCUUGGUUCGAUGAAAAUGGAAGUUGACUGAGGGUGGUUCCAUAGAGUAAAGAGCUUGGAAUGGAGACAUACCCAGAGCAGUGUGAUGUGAAGAAUUGUACCACCAUUCUGCCAUGGUUAACCAAGAAGCCCAAGUGUGUGGUUUAUGGCCCGCAACACAUCUCAAAAACAUCUCGAUACACUGAUUCACGCGCUCUGUUUGCCCAUCCGUUUGGGGAUGGUAUGCUGUGCUCAUCUUGAGCUUGACACCCAUAGCAGUGAAGAGUUCCUUCCAGAAUGAGCUCAUGAAAACAGAGUCCCUAUCUGAGAUGAUGGCUGAAGGUAAACCAUGCAAUUUAACCACAUUAUCCAUAACGGCAGUAGCUACCUUGACAGCAGUGAAAGGGUGAGAGAGAGGGAUCAGAUGACAGUAUUUUGUUAGCUUAUCAACUACCACCAAAAUGGUAUCCAUGCCCUUGGACUUGGGAAGGCCCUCCACGAAGUCCAUAGAAAUAACUUCCCAUACCUCUGAAGGGAUAGGGAUGGGCUGUAGUAAUCCAGCAGCCGGUAAAUGUUCUGACUUGUUACGCUGACACACAUCACAUUCCUUGAUGAAAGAUGCAAAAUCAGAUUUCAUGCUUGGCCAAUAGAAUAAUCGUUCAGUUCUUUUUACAGAGGCUGCUACUCCAGAGUGCCCCCCUUCGCUGCUACUAUGCAUAGUCACACAUAUUCUAUGCCUCAAGUCAGUUGCAGCGCCCACAUAGUACUUGCCAUUGUACCUUAAAACAUUGUUCUCCAGGGUGUAACCACCAAAAUUACUGGGAUCAAUUAACAAUUUGGCCAAAAUUUCUUGAGCCACAGUAUCAUUACCCAAACUUUCUUCAAGUUCUUCCUUCCACCUGGGUUUAGUGGCAUGGACCAUUAGGUUUAACUCUGCUUCCUCGUGCAGUCUAGAAAGAGCGUNUCUUUCCCUUUCUUGUACUGAACACUGUAAUCAUAACCUAAUAGCUUGGAGAGCCAUUUUUGUUGGAGGCUAGUAGUGAUCUUUUGUUCCAUCAGGUGCUUAAGAGCCUCAUGGUCGGUCCUUAUAACAAAAGGAUGGCCCAGAAGAUACGUUCUCCAUUUUUGAGUAGCCAUAAUCACAGCUAAUAGCUCCUUUUCAUAUGUACUCAUCCCCAUGUGUUUAGGACUGAUGGCCUUGCUAAGGUAUGCAAUGGGCUUCCCUUCUUGCAUAAGAACUGCACCGAUCCCUCCGUUGCAAGCAUCAGUUUCAACAACUAAUGGCUUGGUAAAAUCUGGUAGAGCCAGCACUGGAGUACUUGACAUUGCUUCCUUCAGUUGUUGGAAGGCUGUUGUGGCUUCUUCCGUCCAAUUGAAGUUCCCCUUUUUAAGCAAUUCAGUUAGUGGCUUACUAAUAGUGCCGUAAUUCUUGACAAAGCGUCUAUAGUAGCCGGUCAAUCCUAAGAAUCCCCUGAGUCCUUUGAUAUUCCUGGGCUGUGGCCACAAGGUCAUGGCUUUAACCUUGUUUGGAUCAGCAGCAACCCCUUUACAACUGAUGAUAUGUCCCAAAUAUUCAACUUCUUCUCUAGCGAUUUCGCACUUGCUUCUCUUAACAAACAUUUGUGAGCCCGCAAUUUAUCAAAGACCAGCUUCAAUUGGUGCUCAUGCUCUUCCAGAUUACUGCUAUAAACUAGAAUAUCAUCGAAAAAUACUAGUACGAAUUUUCGAAGAUACUCAGCAAACACUUCGUUCAUCAAAGCUUGAAAGGAUGCGGGGGCGUUAGUUAAACCGAAAGGCAUAACUAAAAACUCGAAAUGGCCUUGGUGAGUUUUGAAUGCAGUUUUGUAAGUGUCAUUCUCAUGGACCUUGAUUUGAUGGUACCCACUACGAAGAUCAAGCUUGAAAUAUACAGUACUGCCUUUGAGUUCUGCUAGUAAUUCUUCAAUGACGGGAAUUGGGAACUUAUUCUUGACUGUUAUGGCGUUGAGUGCCCUGUAAUCUACCACCAACCGCCAAGUAUUAUCCUUCUUCCUCACCAGGAGAACAGGGGAUGAGUAGGGGGAUGUGCUGGCCUUGAUUACCCCAGCCUCGAGCAUUUCCUUGGUGAUUUUUUCAAUUUCUUCUCUGUGUGCUAGAGGACAUCUGUAAGGAUGAGAGUUCACUGGUUCGCUACCAGCCUUGAGGGGAAUGUGGUGAUCAUGGUUUCGGGGAGGAGGCAGUUGAGUGGGCGAAGCGAAAACAUCAACAUAGUCUUCCAAUACUUGACUGAUGUUAUUAGGGAGCUUAUCUGUGACGUUGGGGAGACCUUCAAGUGUUGUUACUUGAAUGAGGAAAUAGGCCUCUUCUUUGUGAAACUUAUUAUUUCCUUUCUUCAGACGCAAUUGCACCUUUGCAGGGUUAGUGAAUUGUUGUAAACCCACCCUUUUGCCUUGGUGGUUUACUGUAAUCAUGCCCUUGGCGUAAUCAAAGGUAACGGGGCUCACCGUAGUCAUCCAUUGAGCACCCAAAAUGAUGUCAUAACCCCCCAGAGGAAUAAGGUGCAUAUUGGUGGAAAACACCUCGUCUGCCAUGCUCCACUUAACUGGCUCCACCGUUGUAUUGCACUGGACCUUGUUUCCGUCGGCAACUGUAAUGCUAAAAGGUGCACAGGGAUUUGUUUUGAGUUGCAACCUUUUUGCCAAGUUCUGGGACAUGAAAUCAUGCGUAGAGCCACUGUCUACUAAGAUAUUAACAAGGUGCCCUUGGAUGUUCCCCUGCAAUUUAAUAGUUCCGCUGCCCUGAGAACCAUUCAUGGCGUGUAGCGAGACCUUAGCCGCUGCACAUUCAUCUUCCUGUGGUUGUUCUGUGUUACAACCUUCCCAGGUAAUAGUUAAUUCUUCUUCAUUCUGUACUGCAGCUACCUCUUCAUCUCCAAUGAGGACAAACAAUUUUUUCUUUCUGCAAUCAUGCCCUGGCUCAUACUUUUGAUCGCAGUGGUAGCAUAAUCCCUUCUGCCUUUUUUCAGUUAGCUCAGCCAGAGACAACUUCUUAAAACCCUCUGUGGGAGGUUUAGACCCUGUGUUAUCACUGAAACUUCUAGUAGGGUAGGAUUUUGGCAGGGUUUUGGUAUGUGUUCCCAUGGCUCUGUAGCGUUUGUCCAGUACAGUGAGAAAAAACUUUUGGCCUCUGGCCAGAUCUCUUGCCUCCUGCAUAGUCUUGGGUUUCUGGUUGUACAAGUGUUGAGCAAUGUCAUCUUUAAGGCCACUAAUGAAGUUGUCAAUAUAGUAAGAUUCUCGGUGGAAACCCUCUUCUGCCAUAACAUAAUUUCGUAACUCAUCAAACUGAGUUAUAUACUCCUCCACUCUCCCCUUUUGUGUCAAUUUAUUGAACUGCCCCACCAGGUUUUCAUAGCCCACCUUCGAGAAUCGUUGACAAACCAGAUUACAAAAUUCCGGCCACAACAAAUUAGAUUUCUCCCUUUCUACUGUUCUAUACCAUAUAUCAGCAUCAUUCUCCAUGUGUAAAGCUGCACAUAAGACCCUUGACCUCAGAUCAGUAGUGGGGUUUAACUGAAAAAACUUUUCGCACUUGUUUAACCACCCCCUCGGGUCUUUUCCAUCAAACUUUGGGAAAUCCAGCUUUGGGGUUUUGUACGGUGUGGUGAUAGAGGGUAUAAACCCAAUGUUUUGUGGGUUUGAGUUGGGAUGGAUGGGGUUUGCAGUUGGUUGACUAAAAGUGGAGUAGUGGUUUUGUGGUGUUGAAACUGAGUUUUGGGUGAAGUGAGGGUAUAAAGGCAGAGCAUAGGGGUUUAAAGUGGACUGAAUGUAUGGUGGUUGGUAAGAUGCCAAACCCGUUGUAGGUUGGGGCAUAGGGAAAGUGGUGUUUGGCCNNNAAGAGGUGUUUGGCCAGCUGUUGGUUAAAAACUGGGUUUGAGGAACAAAAAAGCCAGGAGGAGUGGUGGGGUUUAUGGUGGUGUGUAGAGUAGGCUGGGAAGGGUUUAUGGGUCGUGGAAAAGGUGUGAUGGUUGAGCCACUCCAGUUAAUGCUACGAAAAUUACUCAUGUCACCAGAGCUAACAGAGCUUUCAAUAGUAGCAAUAUGAGUAGGAGUUUGUGGAUUAGAGCUUACCAGUGUGACGAUAUCUGAAGUUGGAGCAUCAUUUCCCCCAGGUAUUGAAGCCCUACCCAGAACCUCCUUCUUCAGUAACGCUGUAAGCUCAUCUAGACGAGUUUUGACCUCAAAAUUACUCUGUCUCACCAUCGCCACAUCCAUCUUUAGCUGACCCAUUUGUUCUUGAGUCGCUGUGUUAAAACUUUCAAAUGUGCCCAGCUUUUCUUCCAACGCUGCAAUGGAUUUUUCAUGCUUCUGAAUAGUGGGUUUAUCUGCCAUCAAGAUUCAAAGAAAAGUUUCCGAGGGCCGACGGCUCUGAUACCAAUUUGUGAUGUUUUUGAUAGUUUUGUUAGGGUUUUGUGUUUUUGGAUUUAUGUUAAACAGAAAGAACAACAGAAAAGGAAGCAAAAGGCAAGCUAUUUCAUUUCAUAAAAAGUGAUAGUGGGCGGCUUCCAGCCUUUAUGGACAGACCCUGCUCAUGUUUGCCACGUGGCCUUAGCUUACUGGUUCCCAAAAUAACAGAAACUACCACUACUGAAAAACAGACAAUGACAUAAUAAUUAAAGGUGCACAUCAAAACGACAUCGUAACAAUAGUGGACAAUGUGAAAAUGUGACAGAA
Molecule: long non-coding RNA, 5544 nt
Filed under: Daucus carota (carrot)
Lineage: Eukaryota; Viridiplantae; Streptophyta; Magnoliopsida; Apiales; Apiaceae
Description: long non-coding RNA (DCAR_LNC005060)
Source: RNAcentral